AACACAAACCAUAGAAAAAAUAUAAAAGUGAUAAAGAAUGGGGUGGCUCCGCCGGGGGCCUUCGGUGUCGGAGCGGUCCACCGGGGGCCCACAAGACGAAUCUUUCCAAGACAGGCAGACAGAGAGAGACAGAGAGAGAGAGGGACGUGCCCGAAACGGGGGAAAAAAGAAGUUAAAACUCUGGUGAAAGAGAAAAGAGGAAGGA
Caenorhabditis elegans is the source of this 205-nucleotide non-coding RNA. The record is from Ensembl. NCBI's taxonomy places the organism in Eukaryota, Metazoa, Nematoda, Chromadorea, Rhabditida, Rhabditidae.